Molecule: ribosomal RNA, 444 nt
Filed under: Brachyspira hyodysenteriae
Lineage: Bacteria; Pseudomonadati; Spirochaetota; Spirochaetia; Brachyspirales; Brachyspiraceae
Description: bacterial SSU rRNA
Rfam family: Bacterial small subunit ribosomal RNA
Source: RNAcentral
UGGCGAUGCGUCUUAAGCAUGCAAGUCGAGCGGGCUUAUUCGGGCAACUGGAUAAGUUAGCGGCGAACUGGUGAGUAACACGUAGGUAAUCUGCCGUAGAGUGGGGGAUAACCCAUGGAAACAUGGACUAAUACCGCAUAUACUCUUGCUACAUAAGUAGAGUAGAGGAAAGGAGCAAUCCGCUUUACGAUGAGCCUGCGGCCUAUUAGCCUGUUGGUGGGGUAACGGCCUACCAAAGCUACGAUAGGUAGCCGACCUGAGAGGGUGACCGGCCACAUUGGGACUGAGAUACGGCCCAGACUCCUACGGGAGGCAGCAGCUGAGAAUCUUCCACAAUGGACGAAAGUCUGAUGGAGCGACAUCGCGUGAGGGAUGAAGGCCUUCGGGUUGUAAACCUAGGAAAUUAUCGAAGAAUGAGUGACAGUAGAUAAUGUAAGCCUCGGC